CCUACGGGGCGCAGCAGUAGGGAAUAUUGCUCAAUGGUGGAAACCCUGAAGCAGCAACGCCGCGUGGGGGAUGAAGGUUUUCGGAUUGUAAACUCCUUUUGUUAGAGAAGAUAAUGACGGUAUCUAACGAAUAAGCACCGUCUAACUCCGUGCCAGCAGCCGCCGUAAUACGGAGGGUGCAAGCGUUACUCGGCAUCACUGGGCGUAAAGAGCGCGUCGGCGGGAUAGCAAGUCAGAUGUGAAAUCCUAGGGCUUAACCAUAGAACUGCAUUUGAAACUGUUAUUCUAGAGUAUGGGAGAGGUAGGUGGAAUUCUUGGUGUAGGGGUAAAAUGCGUAGAGAUCGAGAGGAAUACUCAUUGCGAAGGCGACAUGCUAGAACAUAACUGACGCUGAUGCGCGAAAGCGUGGGGAGCAAACAGGAUUAGAUACCCGAGUAGUC
RNAcentral lists this ribosomal RNA (440 nucleotides) under uncultured bacterium. RNAcentral's name for it is "partial 16S ribosomal RNA". It matches the Rfam family "Bacterial small subunit ribosomal RNA", at positions 338 to 795 of the family's 1533-position model. The record is from RNAcentral.